CCUUAUUUUUUCAAAUAAAAAUAGGAGGAGAGUAAUAAAAGUGUGUAAUCUGGUUGUUUGGUGCACGUCAACGGUUACGCAAUUAAUCCUAAACUGCGCCCCUCCCCUUCGAUAAAACGCUAAUCUGUGAGCACAAACCCAUCCCCGGCUGAGAAGCCAUCACUCCUCUCUGCGCCGCUGAGCACCCACCCCGCUGAGCACCCCUCUUUUCGCAACUUCCCAUCUCGCCGCUGAGCCAGCCCAACACGCCAUUAUCUCAGGCAAACCUGUGAUCCUUGCCAUUGAUCUUGAGGUAUGCACUUUAUUCUCUCUGUUAUUGAUCAUUGUGUUUGUUCGUGAGCUCUUGCAGCAAAAGGCUCUUAUUAUUGAUCUCUGUUUUUGUUAUUGUCUUUGUUCUUUAGGUCUUGAAGCUUGGAGCUCUUAUACCCCAUGAUUUUAGGGCACAAGUUUUUUUUGUGGGGUUUUCCCUCUGUUGAAUCUCAAUUUGGGUCUUCUUAGUUUUUUUUUCUCUCUCUUUCUCUGUUAUUUUCUCACUGUUUGGAAAUUUACGCUCUCUCUUUCUUUCUGUGUUUUCUCACCGUUUGGAAUUUUCCUCUCUCUCUGUUAAUCUCAAUAUUAACAUCUGGGUUUUCUUAGUUUUUUGGUAAAUCAGUAGGGAGAGAGGAAUUUAGCCUAAGACAAACCGUUGUAAAUCAUCAAGCGGUUUUCAAUUAAACUAGGGCUCUUUUCCUACAAAAUCUAAAUCUAUGAAAUACUCUAAAUCCAUUUUUUUAAAUAAUCAAUUGGUGCUUAUUAGAUGGGUCUCAAAUUUCAAAUUGAAAAAGUACAUCUUUAACACAAAAGAAAGAAUCAAGUUCGUUAAUGAUGCAAGGUCACAACAAUUAAUUAUAAGAUUUCACGAUUGGGAAUGUAUGAUAAAAUUCAAAAAUAAAUUUUUUGAAAAGGUCACAUUACCAUCUAAAAUAUAUGGCGAAGCAUUAUCCAUCAUAUAUAGUACAGGCCUGUUUGGAUUGAAAAUUAAUUUCAUCUGGAAUAGACUAUCUUAUCCAAAACCAAUACAUGCUGGAUAAUAUUAUCUUGU
This 1081-nucleotide long non-coding RNA is filed under the name Amborella trichopoda. Its description in RNAcentral is "long non-coding RNA (ATRI_LNC000823)". The record is from RNAcentral. Lineage: Eukaryota; Viridiplantae; Streptophyta; Magnoliopsida; Amborellales; Amborellaceae.